RNAcentral lists this unclassified non-coding RNA (251 nucleotides) under fungal sp. Its description in RNAcentral is "partial internal transcribed spacer region". The stretch from base 1 to 46 matches the Rfam family "Eukaryotic small subunit ribosomal RNA", at positions 1786 to 1831 of the family's 1831-position model. Lineage: Eukaryota; Fungi. The record is from RNAcentral.
AAGUCGUAACAAGGUUUCCGUAGGUGAACCUGCGGAAGGAUCAUUAAUGAAAGCUUCGGCUAUCAUGUUUUUUAUACAAAACCCCCAAUUGUUGAUCUUAACACCCUCUGUUGCUUCCACUGUGGUGGUUUUUAUAUACCUACUACGGUGGAUGGUCUACAUCAAAAACCUUUUUUUAUGUUUUUUCCUGUCUGAAAUGUAUGAAAAUGUUAAAUCAUUAAAAACUUUCAACAACGGAUCUCUUGGCUCCU